AUAGUUGGGGUGCUUUAUAGUGAUGGGGGGUUGGGUUUUGAAGGGAAUAAAAUAGUGUGAGGGAUGCAUAUGGCGUGAAGUAGACUCAACCAAAGUUGGAGCUACCCAAUAACAUGGUUUGUUUUCCUAUUCAAAAAGAGAGGGAGAAGGGGAGUGACAUCGAAUGGUGGACGGAAGGGGGUGGUGAGGACAAGUAGGGAACUGAGUUGCGUGUGGUCUGAAAUGCAGUGACAACCUUAACAUGAUCAGAGGCGGUGAAAAGUGAGCAACGAUGGCGAAUCAUGCCCCGUGUGUGCAGAACUAAAGCGGCGCUAGGGCUAAAAUCUAGUUGUGUGCCUAGUUUGAGCAAAGCUAUGCUAGGGGCUAAACGCCUAAACCUAAGUUAUCUCGAUUUUAUUCUAGCAACGUUAAAGUAGAGAUUAAUAUGCUAAAAUGAGUCAUUUUAGUUGGGACAAACCAAAAAUAAAAGUGAAUCAGUGGGCGAGAGGAGUAAUACAAUAACUUAUAUUUUAUCA
This is a long non-coding RNA of Salvia splendens (bonfire salvia), 515 nucleotides long. RefSeq lists it as uncharacterized. The record is from RefSeq and is a predicted model, not a curated record. Lineage: Eukaryota; Viridiplantae; Streptophyta; Magnoliopsida; Lamiales; Lamiaceae. The transcript has 2 exons.